This 959-nucleotide ribosomal RNA is filed under the name Rhodella violacea. RNAcentral's name for it is "partial Bacterial large subunit ribosomal RNA". It matches the Rfam family "Bacterial large subunit ribosomal RNA", at positions 147 to 1154 of the family's 2925-position model. The record is from RNAcentral. Lineage: Eukaryota; Rhodophyta; Rhodellophyceae; Rhodellales; Rhodellaceae.
GGUAUCAAAUCCUGAAUACAUAGGGGUUUGAAGCGAACCCGGGGAACUGAAACAUCUAAGUACCCGGAGGAAAGGACAUCAACGAGACUCCGUCAGUAGUGGCGAGCGAACGCGGAUCAGGCCAGUGCCUGUGUGGAGUUUAUCGGAACGGUCUGGAAUGGCCGGCAAGAGUGGGUGACAGCCCCGUACGAGACGGACGACAUACAGGACUCGAGUAGGGCGGGACACGUGAAAUCCUGUCUGAACAUGGGGGGACCACCCUCCAAGCCUAAGUACUCCUCAGCGACCGAUAGCGAACAAGUACCGUGAGGGAAAGGUGAAAAGCACCCCGACGAGGGGAGUGAAACAGUUCCUGAAACCGGAUGCUUACAAACAGUGGGAGCUCAAGGUUCGUCCUGGGUGACCGCGUACCUUUUGUAUAAUGGGUCAGCGACUUAAAGUUACGAGCAAGCUUAAGCCGGUAGGUGUAGGCGCAGCGAAAGCGAGUCUGAACAGGGCGUUCAGUUCGUGGCUUUAGACCCGAAACCGAGUGAUCUAGCCAUGUGCAGGAUGAAGGUGGGGUAACACCCACUGGAGGUCCGAACCAGUGCCCGUUGAAAAGGUCUUGGAUGACGUGUGGCUAGGGGUGAAAGGCCAAUCAAACUCGGAAAUAGCUGGUUCUCCGCGAAAGCUAUUUAGGUAGCGCCUCGCGUGAAUACCCCAGGGGGUAGAGCACUGGAUGGGCUAGGGGGUCGCGAGAUCUACCAAACCUAACCAAACUCCGAAUACCAUCGAGUAAUAUCCGGGAGACAGACGGCGGGUGCUAAGGUCCGUCGUCAAAAGGGAAACAGCCCUAACCUACAGCUAAGGUCCCCAAGUCAUCACUAAGUGGGAAAGCAUGUGGGAAUCCCAAAACAACCAGGAGGUUGGCUUAGAAGCAGCCACCCUUUAAAGAGUGCGUAAUAGCUCACUGGUCAAGU